Molecule: ribosomal RNA, 251 nt
Filed under: uncultured bacterium
Lineage: Bacteria
Description: partial 16S ribosomal RNA
Rfam family: Bacterial small subunit ribosomal RNA
Source: RNAcentral
ACGGAAGGUCCGGGCGUUAUCCGGAUUUAUUGGGUUUAAAGGGAGCGUAGGCCGGAGAUUAAGCGUGUUGUGAAAUGUAGACGCUCAACGUCUGCACUGCAGCGCGAACUGGUUUUCUUGAGUACGCACAAAGUGGGCGGAAUUCGUGGUGUAGCGGUGAAAUGCUUAGAUAUCACGAAGAACUCCGAUUGCGAAGGCAGCUCACUGGAGCGCAACUGACGCUGAAGCUCGAAAGUGCGGGUAUCGAACAG